This 764-nucleotide ribosomal RNA is filed under the name Mucilaginibacter sp. RNAcentral describes it as "bacterial SSU rRNA". It matches the Rfam family "Bacterial small subunit ribosomal RNA", at positions 278 to 1045 of the family's 1533-position model. Lineage: Bacteria; Pseudomonadati; Bacteroidota; Sphingobacteriia; Sphingobacteriales; Sphingobacteriaceae. The record is from RNAcentral.
GAUGUUUAGGGGAUCUGAGAGGAUGACCCCCCACACUGGUACUGAGACACGGACCAGACUCUACGGGAGGCAGCAGUAAGGAAUAUUGGUCAAUGGGCGGAAGCCUGAACCAGCCAUGCCGCGUGCAGGAAGACGGCCCUAUGGGUUGUAAACUGCUUUUGUACCGGAAUAAACCUCACUACGUGUAGUGAGCUGAAUGUACGGUAAGAAUAAGGAUCGGCUAACUCCGUGCCAGCAGCCGCGGUAAUACGGAGGAUCCAAGCGUUAUCCGGAUUUAUUGGGUUUAAAGGGUGCGUAGGCGGCCUGUUAAGUCAGGGGUGAAAGACGGUAGCUCAACUAUCGCAGUGCCUUUGAUACUGACGGGCUUGAAUGCAGCUGAGGUAGGCGGAAUGUGACAAGUAGCGGUGAAAUGCAUAGAUAUGUCACAGAACACCGAUUGCGAAGGCAGCUUACUAAAGUGUGAUUGACGCUGAGGCACGAAAGCGUGGGGAUCAAACAGGAUUAGAUACCCUGGUAGUCCACGCCCUAAACGAUGAAUACUCGAUGUUGGCGAUAUACGGUCAGCGUCUAAGCGAAAGCGUUAAGUAUUCCACCUGGGGAGUACGCCCGCAAGGGUGAAACUCAAAGGAAUUGACGGGGGCCCGCACAAGCGGAGGAGCAUGUGGUUUAAUUCGAUGAUACGCGAGGAACCUUACCCGGGCUUGAAAGUUAGUGAAUGAGGCAGAGACGUCUCAGUCCUUCGGGACACGAAACUAGGUGCUGCA